AAGGUAGCUUCGGCCUCUGCCCUGGGAUGGGCCCGCGGCCUAUCAGCUUGUUGGUGAGGUAACGGCUCACCAAGGCUACGACGGGUAGCUGGUCUGAGAGGAUGAUCAGCCACACUGGGACUGAGAUACGGCCCAGACUCCUACGGGAGGCAGCAGUGGGGAAUCUUGCGCAAUGGGCGAAAGCCUGACGCAGCGACGCCGCGUGGAGGAUGACGGCCUUCGGGUUGUAAACUCCUUUUAAGAGGGACGAAGAUCUGACGGUACCUCUUGAAUAAGCCCCGGCUAACUACGUGCCAGCAGCCGCGGUAAUACGUAGGGGGCGAGCGUUGUCCGGAUUUACUGGGCGUAAAGCGCGCGUAGGCGGGCCUUUAAGUCGGGGGUGAAAUUCCAAGGCUCAACCUUGGAACUGCCUCCGAAACUGGAGGUCUUGAGGCACGGAGAGGGAAGUGGAAUUCCUGGUGUAGCGGUGAAAUGCGUAGAUAUCAGGAGGAACACCCGUGGCGAAGGCGGCUUCCUGGCCGUGUCCUGACGCUGAGGUGCGAAAGCUAGGGGAGCGAACGGGAUUAGAUACCCCGGUAGUCCUAGCCGUAAACGAUGGAUACUAGGUGUUGGUGGUAUCGACCCCACCAGUGCCGCAGCUAACGCAUUAAGUAUCCCGCCUGGGGAGUACGGGCCGCAAGGUUGAAACUCAA
RNAcentral lists this ribosomal RNA (692 nucleotides) under bacterium enrichment culture. RNAcentral's name for it is "bacterial SSU rRNA". It matches the Rfam family "Bacterial small subunit ribosomal RNA", at positions 202 to 904 of the family's 1533-position model. The record is from RNAcentral.